CCGAAAGGCGGGAGUGCCCGCAAGGGAGCGCGGAGACAGGUGGUGCAUGGCUGUCGUCAGCUCGUGUCGUGAGAUGUUGGGUUAAGUCCCGCAACGAGCGCAACCCUCACCCCUUGUUGCCACCAGGUCAGGCUGGGCACUCUAGGGGAACUGCCCCGGUCAACGGGGAGGAAGGCGGGGAUGACGUCAAGUCAUCAUGCCCCUUACGUCCUGGGCUACACACGUGCUACAAUGGCCGGUACAAAGGGAUGCCACACCGUGAGGUAGAGCUAAACCCAAAAAGCCGGUCUAAGUUCAGAUUGGAGUCUGCAACUCGACUCCAUGAAGGAGGAAUCGCUAGUAAUCGCGUAUCAGCACGACGCGGUGAAUACGUUCCCGGGCCUUGUACACACCGCCCGUCACACCACGAAAGCCAG
RNAcentral lists this ribosomal RNA (416 nucleotides) under uncultured Methylomirabilota bacterium. RNAcentral's name for it is "bacterial SSU rRNA". It matches the Rfam family "Bacterial small subunit ribosomal RNA", at positions 1001 to 1414 of the family's 1533-position model. Lineage: Bacteria; Methylomirabilota (SeqCode). The record is from RNAcentral.